This is a long non-coding RNA of Acinonyx jubatus (cheetah), 1637 nucleotides long. RefSeq lists it as uncharacterized. The transcript has 11 exons. The record is from RefSeq and is a predicted model, not a curated record. Lineage: Eukaryota; Metazoa; Chordata; Mammalia; Carnivora; Felidae.
CCUCUAAUCCCAUAGUUAUGGAGAACGCCAGUUGAACUGCCUUUCUAGGCUGCCAGACUCCUCCCAAGCCACAUCAUCUGGAGUAGUGACCUGAGAAGGCUACAGGUGCAGGUUAGGCAGAGGAAUACUUUGCCCCAGAAUUCAAGAAUUCACUAGCAACUGCUGCAGGUAUUCUGGAGUGUUCUAGAAGAGCUGCACAUACAGGAUAACCACAAAGGGGACAGAGUUUUCCAGAGAAACUGAACCAACAGGAAGUGUGUGUAUGUACAAACAAAGAGAGAGAGAGCACUUUGUUUGAAAGAAUUGGCUCACAUAAUUGUGGGAUCUGGAAAGUCUGUAAUCUGCAAGGCAACCAGCAGGCUGGGGACCCACAGAAGAGUUGACAUUGAAUCUUCCAGUGUGAAGGUCUUUUGGAGGACGAAUUCCUUCUCAAGAGACCUUAGCCUUUUCUCUCACACCUUCAGCCGCCUGGAUGAGGCCCAUCCACAUUAUUGUCCAUUAUGUGCCAGAUGCUGUGUUUGGUCCAAGAAUAGGAAGUCAACGUCACAGGCCCUUCUUUCAUAAAGCUCACGUCUAGGGAGAGUAUGAGUAACUGAAGAAAAAGAGAAUGACUGAAAGCUAUGUACAAAAGGGGGGAUCUGAAGAACCACAGCAACAACCUAUAGCAUAGAUCAUGGGACAUAGCUCGCAAUAAUUCCCCCAUAUUUGCCACAAAAGGGCUUCAUUUCCUAAAGAAGCAAACGGUUGUAGAUGAGCCUCCAGGUGCUACAAGAGAGCAGUAGCUGGAAAGAACAUGAGAGUUUUUGCCUACGCAUAGGCAAAGAUGGUUCCGGCUACCCAUCUCGGACCUUCUCAGACCAAGUAGAGCUGUAGCCUCUGGGCUUGUCUUACCUUGUAAUGCAUUUGGAAAGCACCAUAUUCUCAGGAAUAGAAAAGGGUAAGAGACAAAGAAGAUUCUCUCCAGAGCUGGAGAGAUGAAGGAAGGAAGCAGCCAUCCUAUAGCAUACAUACGUUGUUGCUGAUUUGUUGACUUAUCUUAUCUUCUUGGUGAGAAACAACAGCUUGUCCUACAAUUGCUCUCCCUUACCUCUGGAUCUUCUGGAUUCCUCUGACUUCUGAACUAGUCUGCUGGUGAUCUUCUCUUCCAGACCGUCUGCCCUGAGAACUUUGGGCUCUGACAUGAAAUGUGGAGACAGCCUUGCGGAGACUUCUUAGCCAGCUGCCAUAAUGAGGAUGCAUAUAUGAUAUGUGGGAACUGGCACUAGUCUGUGUCCUGUGUGAACAUCAGAUCUCUGGAAUCCUCUGCAUGUGCACUGAAGACCCCCACUAUGCCCUGAAGACCAGUUAUCUUGAUAGCCCUGGACUCGACAUAGUCUCUUCAACUUCGGGGGACUGGCAGUCUCCAUUGGUUUCUUCCUCACUGUGCAAUGGCCUGGAAGCUUUCUUCAAAUAGUAAAGUGGGGCAAUAGAAUUAAGCAGUGGUGGAUGGGGACCAUGAAAUCCAAACUAGUUGAAAUGUUUACACAUUGCUCGAACUCCAAAAUGCUGGUCAGUAGUUCUUUUCCUGCUAUGUCUUCACACCUUCAAAUUAGUCCAUUUUUUCCCUCCACGUUUCAUUGUCAAACAAGACUUUGUAG